RNAcentral lists this ribosomal RNA (443 nucleotides) under uncultured bacterium. RNAcentral's name for it is "bacterial SSU rRNA". It matches the Rfam family "Bacterial small subunit ribosomal RNA", at positions 338 to 795 of the family's 1533-position model. The record is from RNAcentral.
CCUACGGGAGGCAGCAGUGGGGAAUAUUGCACAAUGGGGGAAACCCUGAUGCAGCGACGCCGCGUGAAGGAAGAAGGUCUUCGGAUCGUAAACUUCUAUCAGCAGGGAAGAAGGAAGUGACGGUACCUGACUAAGAAGCCCCGGCUAACUACGUGCCAGCAGCCGCGGUAACACGUAGGUGGCGAGCGUUGUCCGGAAUUACUGGGCGUAAAGGGCGAGUAGGCGGCCAGUUGUGUCAGAUGUGAAAGGCUAGGGCUUAACCCUAGCAUGGCAUUUGAAACUGACUGGCUUGAGUGUAGGAGAGGGAAGCGGAAUUCCUAGUGUAGCGGUGAAAUGCGUAGAUAUUAGGAGGAACACCAGUGGCGAAGGCGGCUUCCUGGCCUAUAACUGACGCUGAGGCGCGAAAGCGUGGGGAGCAAACAGGAUUAGAUACCCGGGUAGUC